Molecule: ribosomal RNA, 433 nt
Filed under: uncultured bacterium
Lineage: Bacteria
Description: partial small subunit ribosomal RNA
Rfam family: Bacterial small subunit ribosomal RNA
Source: RNAcentral
AAUGGGGGACCUGANGCCGCCACCCCCGUGGAGGAAGAAGGCCUNCNGAUUGUAACCNCCUGUUGUUGAGGAAGAUAAUGNCGGUCCNCACCAAGGAAGUGNCGGCUANCUNCGUGCCACCACCCCCGGUAAANCGUAGGUCNCAAGCCGUUGNCCGGAAUUNCUGGGUGUAAAGGGAGCCCCAGGCCGGGAAGACAAGUUGGAAGUGAAANCUAUGGGCCUCACCCCAUAANCUGCCUUUCAAAACUGUUUUUCUUGAGUAGUGCCAGAGGUAGGCCGGAAUUCCCGGUGUAGCCGGUGGAAUGCCGUAGAUAUCGGGAGGANCNCCAGUGGCCGAAGGCCGGCCCUACUGGGCCCCCANCUGACGCCUGAGGCCNCGAAAGUGUGGGUANCAAACAGGAUUAGAUNCCCUGGUAGUCCCAAGGGCGAAUUC